Long non-coding RNA from Cannabis sativa, 385 nucleotides. RefSeq lists it as uncharacterized. Lineage: Eukaryota; Viridiplantae; Streptophyta; Magnoliopsida; Rosales; Cannabaceae. The transcript has 3 exons. The record is from RefSeq and is a predicted model, not a curated record.
UCUCUCUUACCCGACCCUCUCUCCCUCUCUUGCUCUCUUAAUUUUCAAUUUUAAGAAUUGAAGAAAAGUGCUUGAUGUUUGGUGGUUUUGGAGCUUGAUAAUUGUAGAACUUUGAGCUUACUCUUGGUUUGAGUUUGAGGAUUACCGGCACCUGGUCAGGAGCACCCGGGGAUUCGGAAUCUCUGCCUUUGCAGGACAACAGGAAAGGGUAAGUCAGUGGCUGAUCAACCAUGAGUUUGAGGAGCAAGAUGAAGAAUGUACAUGUUCAAGCCAUAUCAGACCAAGCGGGUUAAGGGUCUAUCAGUGAUGAACUUUUGAAUUCUAUUUUGCCGUUUAGGUCGGCUAGAAAUAAUUGACUUGUAAUAGCGGUUGUAAAUAUUUUUGG